Molecule: ribosomal RNA, 253 nt
Filed under: uncultured bacterium
Lineage: Bacteria
Description: partial 16S ribosomal RNA
Rfam family: Bacterial small subunit ribosomal RNA
Source: RNAcentral
UACGGGGGGAGCAAGCGUUGUUCGGAUUUACUGGGCGUAAAGGGCGCGUAGGCGGCGUGACAAGUCACUUGUGAAAUCUCCGGGCUUAACCCGGAGCGGCCAAGUGAUACUGUCGUGCUAGAGUGCGGAAGGGGCUACUGGAAUUCUCGGUGUAGCGGUGAAAUGCGCAGAUAUCAGGAGGAACACCAGCGGCGAAGGCGGCGCUCUGGGCCGGUACUGACGCUGAGGAGCGAAAGCGUGGGUAGCAAACAGG